UUCCUGGGGCGGCUGGUUCCUCUAGGCACGUUGUUCCUCCACUUUCAGAAGCCUGGGCUAGCCCCAACUCUUAGGCUGCCCAGUCCUGUUUCUAGUACUAAUUUAAAUCUAUGGCUCGAGCCUGUAACUAAAAACCAAAUCCAU
Long non-coding RNA from Oryctolagus cuniculus (rabbit), 144 nucleotides. It matches the Rfam family "HOX antisense intergenic RNA myeloid 1 conserved region 5". Lineage: Eukaryota; Metazoa; Chordata; Mammalia; Lagomorpha; Leporidae. The record is from Rfam.